UGAUCCUGGCUCAGGAUGAACGCUGGCGGCGUGCCUAAUACAUGCAAGUCGAGCGAACAGAUAAGGAGCUUGCUCCUUUGACGUUAGCGGCGGACGGGUGAGUAACACGUGGGUAACCUACCUAUAAGACUGGAAUAACUCCGGGAAACCGGGGCUAAUGCCGGAUAACAUAUAGAACCGCAUGGUUCUAUAGUGAAAGAUGGUUUUGCUAUCACUUAUAGAUGGACCCGCGCCGUAUUAGCUAGUUGGUAAGGUAACGGCUUACCAAGGCGACGAUACGUAGCCGACCUGAGAGGGUGAUCGGCCACACUGGAACUGAGACACGGUCCAGACUCCUACGGGAGGCAGCAGUAGGGAAUCUUCCGCAAUGGGCGAAAGCCUGACGGAGCAACGCCGCGUGAGUGAUGAAGGGUUUCGGCUCGUAAAACUCUGUUAUUAGGGAAGAACAUAUGUGUAAGUAACUGUGCACAUCUUGA
RNAcentral lists this ribosomal RNA (476 nucleotides) under Staphylococcus gallinarum. RNAcentral's name for it is "bacterial SSU rRNA". It matches the Rfam family "Bacterial small subunit ribosomal RNA", at positions 14 to 472 of the family's 1533-position model. Lineage: Bacteria; Bacillati; Bacillota; Bacilli; Caryophanales; Staphylococcaceae. The record is from RNAcentral.